GAUGAACGCUGGCGGCGUGCCUAAUACAUGCAAGUCGAGCGAACAGACGAGGAGCUUGCUCCUCUGACGUUAGCGGCGGACGGGUGAGUAACACGUGGAUAACCUACCUAUAAGACUGGGAUAACUUCGGGAAACCGGAGCUAAUACCGGAUAAUAUAUUGAACCGCAUGGUUCAAUAGUGAAAGACGGUUUUGCUGUCACUUAUAGAUGGAUCCGCGCCGCAUUAGCUAGUUGGUAAGGUAACGGCUUACCAAGGCAACGAUGCGUAGCCGACCUGAGAGGGGGAUCCGCCACCAGGGGGAGGGGAAGAGGGUCAAAACUCGGAGGGAGGCAAGAGGCAGGAAUCUUCCGGAAGGGGCGGAAGGCAGGAGGGGACAAGCCGCGUGAGGCAAGAAGGGCUUGGGAGCGUAAAUGAUUUUUAUUUGGGAAAAACAAAGGUGUAAUAAACGAGGCAAUGCUGGCAGUAACCGAAGAAAAAGCCCCGGGCAAACCAGG
RNAcentral lists this ribosomal RNA (495 nucleotides) under uncultured bacterium. RNAcentral's name for it is "partial 16S ribosomal RNA". It matches the Rfam family "Bacterial small subunit ribosomal RNA", at positions 28 to 505 of the family's 1533-position model. The record is from RNAcentral.